AUGCUUUAACAAGUUAGCCCCCGUUUGGUUCGGGGUUAAGAAAAAGUAGCUAUUCCAGGAAUAGAGUUAAGUUCAGGAUUAAAAUAGUGUUAAAAUUUUUUUGUGUUUGGUUGGAGUUGGAGUUAGUCUAGGAUAGUGAAAAAAAGUGUUUGGUUGGAGUAGGUGGGAUAAGAAGAUAAUGAUUGAUAAAGAAGAAAAAGGUGAGAGCUCGGGAUGCGUGCGGGGUUAAAGUUGGGAGGGGGAGUGGGGUUAAUGAUUGAUAAAGAAGAAAAAGGUGAGGGCUCGGGAUGCGUGCGGGAUUAAAGUUGGGAGGGGGAGUGGGGUUAGUAAACCCCACUANUUGAUAAAGAAGAAAAAGGUGAGGGCUCGGGAUGCGUGCGGGAUUAAAGUUGGGAGGGGGAGUGGGGUUAGUAAACCCCACUAACCCGGUUUGGGGUGGGGUUUACUAACCCCACCCCAAAAGAGUGGUGUUUGGGUAUAAAUUGGGGGUUAAG
This 494-nucleotide long non-coding RNA is filed under the name Ananas comosus (pineapple). RNAcentral describes it as "long non-coding RNA (ACOM_LNC025302)". The record is from RNAcentral. Lineage: Eukaryota; Viridiplantae; Streptophyta; Magnoliopsida; Poales; Bromeliaceae.